GUCUACAGCCAUGCCACCCUGAACAAGCCCAAUGUCUGAUCUCGGAAGCCUAAGCAGGGUCUGCCUGGUUAGUACUUGGAUGGGAGACAACCUAGGAAGACCAGGUGCUGCAGGUG
This 116-nucleotide ribosomal RNA is filed under the name Pteropus alecto (black flying fox). Lineage: Eukaryota; Metazoa; Chordata; Mammalia; Chiroptera; Pteropodidae. The record is from RNAcentral.